AAGAAAAAUGCCUUGAAAUUCAAUUUUAAUUCUUCUAUUUUAAAGUGAAAAGCAAAUUAAUGACUAGUUUGUUUGUUUUUUUCUGUAAAGAAAAUCCAAUUACCAAAAGAUGCACAGACCAGCCUCUUUGGGUUUUUGGCUUUAACUCAUUUUAGCAAUAACAGCCAAGCUCUUUUUAAAAGUAGGUUUCCAGAACAAUUGGCCAGUUUCAGCUCAUCUAGUCACGAAUCUGGAGUCUGAACUGGGUUUUAAAGCAUCACCUGGGUUGGGCCUGGAAUCAGCUUGAUGUACGUCAUAUUUAUUAAGUAAAUGAGUCGAAAUGAACCAGAGACCUGGAAUUGGAAGUAUAUUAAGCUAAAGACUGAGGUUAAAUAAUGUGGCAUGGGGUAAACGUUCCAUUUUCUGAUGUCUCUGAUGAAAACCUGUCACAUUCCUAUCUGCAUGUUUGGAAGCACUUGAAGGGCUUGUUUUUCUGUAUUUCCUCAGUAUAGUUCCUUAAUACCUCUGUAGAUGACCAGUCUCAGCUGUAAGACGGUAGACGGUUACAGUAGAAGACUUGUAACCACCAGGCACACACACAUAUAUAUAUAUAUAUAUAUAUAUAUAUAUAUUUGUCAGGAGUUGAUACAUGGAAGGUUUUGAAAGAUGUCAAUUGUCAUUUUUCCUGUUUUGUCGUUUUGUUUGUUACUGAUGCUGGAGAAAGGGCCCGCUGAUGAGGCUCCAUGAGGUCUGAAUGGAGGCUGAAGAGGGCCCCAGAGAUCCGCAUGAACCCCCUAUCCUCCUUAAACCACAUAUGAAGGAAGACAGACUCUUUAUUUUACACGUUAACCCUCAAAGACCUAGAAAACUGACUGUAGCAUCUGUUUUCUGAACAUAGAGUGGCUGUUAAAAUUGCAAGGACAAGUUAAAGUACAAAGUUUACAUUUGCUUUUGUCUAAAAAUGUAUGAAUUUACCGGGAUUUUUCAUGAAAGCAUAAGAAAUGGCGGACUUUUUACUGUGAACUCUGACACAACCUUGAUGUUUUGUUAUCACUGAAAUUCUCCAAAUGACUUUUUGACACAGACUAAAGCAAACAAAUCAAGGAAAAACCAAAAAUAUGUAAAAGUAAAAAACCAUGAAAACAGGUGUAGCUAAAUGCGAAAUUGGUUAAUAACAUGUUAGCAUGCAAAUUAGCAAAACUUUUAGAACAAUGGAAAAGCUAAAGAUAAUGGGAAGGUGCAAACAGGUGCAGCUACAUCUAGAAACACUCAUUAACAUGUUAUGGGAACAUGUUAGCAUGCUAGUUAGCUACUUAGCUUUUGUGUUUUCCUAAAUGUUUUUUGGUUAAUUCCGUCAGUCUUGUUUGUUUUUGACUUUUAAUAACAGUUAACUACUAGCUUAGUUUGCUAACACUAGCUUCUGUUUCAUAUUACUAUUUUUAAUCUAAAUUCAGUAGCUUUUUUCCAAUAACUUUGAUGUUUGUUUGUUUUUUUGGCUCAGUUUACAGCAAAUUGAGGAAAAACCAAAAAUCUGAAAAUGGAACAAUAGAAAUUAAUUGGCAAGAGGUAAUGAUAGCAUAGUAACGUGUUAUCACAGGUAUAACUAAAUGUGGAAUCAGUCAUUAACAUGCUAUGGAAACAUCUGAGCUUGCAAAUUAGCAACUUAGCUAAAGUUUUCUUUCUUUUUCUUUUUAAUGUUUCUAUUUCUAAAUGGUUUUGGCUAAUUAUGUCAGUCUCUUAAUUUUUUUUUACUAAGUUCAAAUUGACAAUGGUUAACCACUAGCUUAGUUUGCUAACACUAGCCUCUUUUUCAUAUAACUAUUUUUAAUCUAAAUUGAGUAGCUUUUUUCCAAUAACUUUGAUGUUUUGGUUUUUUUUUUGGCCCAGUUUACAGCAGAAAACCCCCCCCAAAACAUCUGAAAAUGGAACAACAGAAAAUAAUUGGCGAAAGGUAAUGAUAGCAUAGUAACGUAAUAUAACAGGUGUAACUAAAUCUGAAAUCCGUCAAUAACGUUAUGGAAACGUCUUAGCAUGCAAAUUAGCAACUUUAAAAACUUUAAGUAUUUUUAUUUCUAAAUGGUUUUGGCUAAUUAUUUCAGUCUCAUUUUUUUUUUUUUUUUUUUUUUACGAAGUUCAAAUUGAUAAUGGUUAACCACUAGCUUAGUUUGCUACCAUUAGCCUCUGUUUGGUAUUACUAUUUCUAUUCAAAAUUUAGCUUUUUUCCAACAGUGUCACUGUCUUCUGGCCUGGUCUACUGCAAACAAACGGCAGAAAAACAAAACGAUCAAAAAAUUAAACAAUAGAAAAUAAUUAGCCAAAGGUAAUGAUUACAUGGUAAUAUAACAGGUCAAACUAAAUCUGGAAUCAGUCAUCAACAUGUUAUUAGAACAUGUUAGCGUGCUAAGUAGCUAGUUAGCUUAAUUUUUUUCCCUAAGUGCUUUUGGCUUAUUCUAUCAGUUUUGUUUGUUUUUCAUAAAGUACAAAUUUUAUAUUACUGUUUUUAAUCAAAAUUGAGUGUUUUUUUCCCCCGUAGCUGCGAUUCGACUAAAACGAGUCAAACUGAAACACUGAGAAUGUCCUCUGUAUUUGACCUUUUAAAGCACAGUGCAGAGGAAUAUUUUGUAGCUACAGGAAGUGUUCAAGGUCUUUGAGGUUUAAAUUCAAAGCUCAGGUUUUAAUUUAAUUUGCAUUGUUCUGAAAAGGAGGCGGAGGUUUCAUUCGGACUCUGAUGUCGAAACAGUGUUGAAAGAACGAUGAAGAACAAAGACUCCUCUUCGCUGACGGUUUCUUCUGUCAGCCUUUGGUAGAUUUUUUUUUUUUUUCUUUUCUGUAUGUUGCACUUGAUAAAUCCUAACUCUUAUACACUGAUAACUAUUAUCACUAUGAUUAACUUGGCUGAAGUAAUUAUUAUGUCCGACAACACUGACGAUCUGUUUAAUGAUGAGUGUGAUGCAGUUAACACUAUAGCCUGAUUUACUGUCAAAUAAAACUGAAUAAACAAAUACUGGCGUCUAAGAGUUAUGAUAUGAAUAAUGCUGC
This is a long non-coding RNA of Sphaeramia orbicularis (orbiculate cardinalfish), 3018 nucleotides long. RefSeq lists it as uncharacterized. NCBI's taxonomy places the organism in Eukaryota, Metazoa, Chordata, Actinopteri, Kurtiformes, Apogonidae. The record is from RefSeq and is a predicted model, not a curated record. The transcript has 2 exons.